GACGCAGCCGUCGCUUCUCCUCCGAGUUGUGGCCGCACUGCAAGCGACGCUGCAGCCCCACUCGAACCGCUGAUGUCCUCCGCCUCGCCUUCCUAUCCGGAGUUGAAUAAAGGAUGAGGACAUGUGUUGAGCCGACGCUGGUGAUGCCAGGUGCGGACGAGUCGGGCAAGAUCUCGCAACGCUGGCCUAGGGCCCCUCUCUCAACGAAGGUUCAUGUCCCAAACCCGAAUGCAAAUCUAGGGAAGAAACAAAUAGAAGCAUGCUCAAGGACACUAACAGUUUCAGUCCAAUGAUGUUAAGGUAAAUAACCUCAAAAGCUUAACUACCUCCAGAUGUGUUCCAGCUACAUGAUACUAAUUCAUGAGAUUUAAGAUCCUUCAUUAAUAUGCUGACACAGCCCACACCCCCACACGCUAUGGCGUGUGUGUCAUAAUGUAAAUUUGAAUCUUCUUUUGAGGAUAAAAUUCAUGUCAAUCUGAUUUUACUCUAAGGCUAUUUUGGUUCAGGUGUGUUUCAAGGAGUAAUAUGAACUUUUUAUUGUUUGGUAUCUAAUGUAUUUGGCGUUAGUUGCGCCUCUCUGCUGCUGCUGCUCCCUGACUUGUUGUCCUCCUUGACCGCAGAGACAAAUAGCACUUCUCUCUCACCAUUCCCCUCACCUCGGGUUAUUUUCAGUCCUGAUUUACCUGGUUGUUACCUAGAUAUGAUUAUUGCUUGCCAAAAUCAUUGAUUGUUUGUGUUCUAGAUCAUACACAAAUGUGGCUCUACCAACUGGAUAAUACUGAACUUGAUGGAUUUUCCAUUCCUCUAUCGUUUCAGGUGAUUUUGUUAAUCUCGGAAACUGAAAGUAUGGUCCUUAUUCUUAUUAGUUUUCCUUUUCAUGGUCAGCUGCCACACACUUUGGACUCCAUCGUCUCAGCAAAGGUAGCUCCGAUGGCCCAUGCUUGCCUCAUGUGUUGCAUCUCAUAUUAUGUAUCUUUGCUCCACUCUUGCCUCAUGUGUUGUAUUUGAUGAUGAUUUUGAUUUCUGCAUAUUUGAAUAUUUUACGUACAUUUCCAGUGUUAAGAUUUAACAUUGAACAAUAUGAGUAGUUGCCUCUAUGGUCCUCUGCUGAAUGAACAAUAUGAGUAGCUGCCUCUUACGGUGCUCUUACAACCCUGUAGUGAACUGGUUGGUACCUCUUAUAUUAUUUAUACAUAUAUUCUAAAAAAGUUAGCAAAAAGUGCUUGUGGAAAUGAAUUUUAUUUUGGGUUUACCUAUGGAUCUUCCUCUAGCUCUAGGAUAGAGGAUUCAGUUUCUUACUCCACCUGAAGACUCAUUUUGUAAUUUCCGUACACACUUUGGCUACCUUUGUCUUUGUCUUUAUCAACACAAGUUUUAGUAAUGUUUCAGUUUGGGCAUGGCCGUAGAAAUAUGUGUAGUGCCACCGUGUUGAAGCUCUGUUUUGGUGAUUUCUUGAUUUAAUCAUAGCUGCAAAAAAUUGCUAAAGCUUUAGUUAAUUGAACUCAGAGGGACGAGUUCAAUACCGACAGCCUAUUUGAUAAAAUGUAGGUACUGAAUGUUCUCUUUUCGCUAUGUUUGUCCAUAUAUUUCUGAUGUUUUCCCUUGAUGUAUUCUCGGUUCUCUGAUUGGCUGCGGCUGCUUUCGCCAUGAUCCCUCCUCCCACACGCACAAAAGCGACAUGCCUAUUUGGUAUUUUGUUUAGUAAGCAAAGGUAUCAUUUGGACACAGGUAAAGGAGGUACAUUGAUGUGCAUUCGUUCUGUUAGCUAUAGUCAAUCGCAUACACAAAUAUUUUAUAUUAGCACUCGAUUAAUGUUCUUCCUUGCCAUUCAUUUGCUAUAAUAAUCUCAAUUGUUUUUCAUUAAAUAGGAAGUGUACACAUGCAUAUAAGUUUUAAAGAGGUAUACCAUACUUAGGAUCAAGCUAUUGAUUAAAAUAUUAUGUCUUCAUUUAUCAAUUGCCAAGUAGAUAUUGGAUUUAUUAAUGGGCACUGCAGAUGGUGCUAAGGCUCUGAUCGAUGCCACUGGCCGAUUGAUACUGUAUAUAAUUAUAAACACCUAUGUUCCAAUGCAUAUGGUUGUUCAGUUUUUCAUUACUCCACUGCGGUACACUUUUUAGUUUUGACGUGUGAGAUUCGAUCUGGUUUGUGAUUUUUAGUCGCAUGUGUUAAUGACUUACCUGUCCAGGUCCCGCUCCCUGGCAUCUCCGGCUACCGCUGCAGCUAUGGCGGUCUCAUCACCAUCAGGUACUUAUGUAAAGAAUGUUGUAUUGAGCCGGCUUUCCCAAUUUUCUUCAUGUAUAUACAUAUGAAUAUUUGGUCAAGAGGACCUUGUAGACCCAUCUCUCUCUUCAUCAGCUUGCAACAUCAAUUAUCUGAAUUUGAGCUAUACAUUUUUACUUCAUGAUGUUUCAUGUUUCAGGUUCAGGAUUCUAAGAAAAUGAGCCGAGUAUGUGUUUCAGAUUUUUGAGAGAAAUAUCAAACUGAACUAGGUCUACUGGAACUAAAGAGGGAGCAGGACACUUGGGGCCUUUUAUUGGAGAAAAUUUUGCGGUAUGUACAUUGGCGAGUUGGGCUUCAGUGUUGUAUACCUCGAGGUAUUCCUAAAAAAUCUGAACAUUUCAUUUACUUUCUAUCAUUUACCGAUGUGUAAAUGAUGGUGCCUACUCAUGGGAAUUAAUUAAAACAGGUUGAACCAUGAAGUAUAAGGUACCAGGUAGCUAUAAAUCUGUAGAACACAAUUUAAUCUUCCCCCGAGGGACACUAGAAGCUAUGCUUUAAAACUAUGAACAUAGAGUUUUAUAAAAGCAUACCAGCAACUUGUUUUCAUCGUUGCAGCUAAACCGCUGAACCAAAUUGAGUGAAUGACCACUCAAAAUGAUCGCUGGAAUGAGACCUACAAAACACUUUUAAGUAUGUGUUCUAAUUUUGCCGUCUAUGUACUCGAAAUUGAUGAUCUCUAAACCUGUAUGUCCAGAAACGGGAAUAUGGAACAUGUUUCCUGUAACCCCUAAACGAUCUUGCUACUCUCCUGCCCUAGGAACCUAGGAAUCACCAUGUACAACACAAAAGAGGAACAUGGAGGGUGGGAAAACUCACCCUUGAUGUUUGAGCAAGGGGAAUCGGACAGGGGAGGUGAGUAUCUUCUCUUCUUCCUUCUUGUCUUGUCUUCCUCUUCCUCAAGAUCAGUUCCAUGGUCGGGCUGUACCUGAAGGAGUAGGUCGUGGUGAAAGUGGGAAGUUUAGGGGAGAGGAAGGGAGAGGAGGAAGGGGAGGAAGGAGGUGCCAUGAGGGAAAGGGGAAGGGAGCUCGGGUGUGAGCAGCAAAGAAGAGGGAGCAGGCUUUGGGGAUAUGGAUGAGGAGGUACUCACGUGGUGGAGGAGAUGGGGACAAAGGGUUAGCUUCAUUUUUGUAAAAUACAAAUUAGAGAUAUUUUUGAAAUAUUCAAAUAAUCAUGCCCAUUGAAUUGAAAUAAGCCAUUGAAGAUGCAUCCGGAGGCCGAUUUGGGGGCACGAGUAGUCUGUUUCGACCAUCUUGAGAAGCCCGAUAGAAUCGGAUUUAUGAUUCGAUAAACCAAUUAAAAAAUGGUUAUAGAGUCAAAAGGUAUGUUUUGUCGGAAAACGAUUAUCGUGAAACGGGGGUGUUACAAAUAUAGUGCAUCAUUGUUGCACGAUAAGCAUGCAACUCAAGCAGAUGGGUUUCUUCCUUCAGUAGUGGUGAUUCUCUUCCAGAGAUAGAAGCUUCAUCAUCAUUCCUACUACAUAUAUCCUCACUGACAUACUCUUGAGGAUGUGCUGACCUAUAGGGGAUACCGUAGGGACUGCAACUACCAACAGAGGAUGUGGCACUAUUAGUAUCGUAAUCUUGAGUUGUUACAGCAGGAUACUAAUAAUCAACAUUAGUGUUAACCACCGCCAAGUUCUUUUGUGGAAAGCCAUUCGCUUUGUUUGUUAUUUAACGAAUCAUGCAUGCAUUUUUCACCCAGCAUUAAGCACGGGGAAUCAACAGAAUCUACCUUAUCCAUCAAACGAAGAGAAUCUCUAGGACGAGGAUAUUGGUGUCUUCCAUCACAGCGCUGCAUAGGGAAAGCUGAUGCAGCAGAUGAUUUUCUCUUCAUGCCUCGAUACAUAUUGCCCUCCAAUACAGCCCCGUCCUUUAUUACAAGAUGACUGCCCCCCUGAGUUUCCACCUUUUGUCCAACUCCUAAGUGAACCACUAGCACAUCAUGAUAAUUAAUUGCUUGCUUGUUACAUUUCAUCCCAAACCAUGUGUUUGUUCUAUUGGGUGUUCACUCACACCAACAAUGCUUAGUGUGUGCUUUGCAGCUUUCACUAGAAGAGAUGAAUGGCGGCAAGGAAUAGCAUCAGUAGGCCGGGUUGGUUUGGGAUUAAUAGUGUCGGCUGACAUGUUAUUUGCUCUAGGUAGAUGAUCAGGAUCAACGUUCAGUGACUUGAUCCAGAAUAAGGCGGAGGGUGGAAUUGGUGACAUGGAUGGAGGAGGAUGAUCUUGGCAUGGAGGAGAAGGCGGGAAGUUGCAGAUGAGGAAGUUGUAUGGGGACACAAGGAUGGUAUUGACAGAGCCGCACGCCGCUGCCAAACCAUAGGGUGACGCCUAUGACUGAGUGUCUUUCCAUGGCGAGCUGCUGGCUGAGCGCGAUGUGUUGUUGUUGGUGAGAGUCUGGAGCAAGAGGAGGAGCUAGAGAAGAUAAAUGUCCCCUAUUUCCGUUACAGGUAUUUUGAUUCAUUACCAUACAAAGGAGAGUCUUCUGGUAAUGAUUAUUUUGUAAAUUGUGGGGUAAAAAAAUAUUUGAUAGACUUCUAGGUUAAUUAGUUCUUUUUUAGACUAUGUUUCUAUGAUUUCUCUUUGUAUGGCUAUUGUUGCACAUAUAAUUGUUGCACUGCUCAUUGUAAUAUGGAAUUAGCAAUAAUUGCUUCUCUUCUGAUAUUUUUUGUCGUAUACUGGAGUUCAUGUUUUUAUUUAUUAAAUUGCUUGAUCCUUGUUUACAUAGGAUAUCAAACAGUGAUAUAAAAGAGAGGACAACAUUAACCAAGUUGUAGUACAUCAAGUCUAGAUUACCCCACAGAGUGUUUCUGAUAAUUCAAGCAAUUU
This is an RNA transcript of Lolium rigidum, 5105 nucleotides long. RefSeq lists it as uncharacterized. The record is from RefSeq and is a predicted model, not a curated record. The transcript has 7 exons. NCBI's taxonomy places the organism in Eukaryota, Viridiplantae, Streptophyta, Magnoliopsida, Poales, Poaceae.